Molecule: long non-coding RNA, 2782 nt
Filed under: Pelobates cultripes (western spadefoot toad)
Lineage: Eukaryota; Metazoa; Chordata; Amphibia; Anura; Pelobatidae
Source: RNAcentral
CCUGGUCCAGGCUGCUCUCCCAGCAGUGUGUGUUUCUGUGUCUCCCGGUCCUGGCUGCUCUCCCAGCAGUGUGUGUUUCUGUGUCUCCUGGUCCUGGCUGCUCUCCCAGCAGUGUGUGUUUCUGUGUCUCCUGGUCCAGGUUGCUCUCCCAGCAGUGUGUGUUUCUGUGUCUCCUGGUCCUGGCUGCUCUCCCAGCAGUGUGUGUUUCUGUGUCUCCUGGUCCUGGCUGCUCUCCCAGCAGUGUGUGUUUCUGUGUCUCCUGGUCCAGGUUGCUCUCCCAGCGGUGUGUGUUUCUGUGUCUCCUGGUCCUGGCUGCUCUCCCAGCGGUGUGUGUUUCUGUGUCUCCUGGUCCUGGCUGCUCUCCCAGCGGUGUGUGUUUCUGUGUCUCCUGGUCCAGGCUGCUCUCCCAGCGGUGUGUGUUUCUGUGUCUCCUGGUCCAGGCUGCUCUCCCAGCGGUGUGUGUUUCUGUGUCUCCUGGUCCAGGCUGCUCUCCCAGCGGUGUGUGUUUCUGUGUCUCCUGGUCCUGGCUGCUCUCCCAGCGGUGUGUGUUUCUGUGUCUCCUGGUCCUGGCUGCUCUCCCAGCGGUGUGUGUUUCUGUGUCUCCUGGUCCAGGCUGCUCUCCCAGCGGUGUGUGUUUCUGUGUCUCCUGGUCCAGGCUGCUCUCCCGGCGGUGUGUGUUUCUGUGUCUCCUGGUCCUGGCUGCUCUCACAGCAGUGUGUGUUUCUGUGUCUCCUGGUCCAGGUUGCUCUCCCAGCAGUGUGUGUUUCUGUGUCUCCUGGUCAGGUUUAUACCCAGCAGUGUGUGUUUCUGUGUCUCGGUCAGGUUGCUCUGGCAGUGUGUGUUUCUGUGUCUCGGUCCUGGCUGCUCCCAGCAGUGUGUGUUUCUGUCUCCUGGUCAGGCUGCUCUCCCAGCAGUGUGUGUUUCUGUGUCUCGGCCCUGGCUGCUCUCCCAGCAGUCUGUGUUUCUGUGUCUCCUGGUCUGGCUGCUCUCCCAGCGGUGUGUGUUUCUGUGUCUCCUGGUCCAGGCUGCUCUCCCAGCAGUGUGUGUUUCUGUGUCUCCCGGUCCUGGCUGCUCUCCCAGCAGUCUGUGUUUCUGUGUCUCCUGGUCCUGGCUGCUCUCCCAGCAGUGUGUGUUUCUGUGUCUCCCGGUCCAGGCUGCUCUCCCAGCAGUGUGUGUUUCUGUGUCUCCCGGUCCUGGCUGCUCUCCCAGCAGUGUGUGUUUCUGUGUCUCCCGGUCCAGGCUGCUCUCCCAGCAGUGUGUGUUUCUGUGUCUCCCGGUCCUGGCUGCUCUCCCAGCAGUCUGUGUUUCUGUGUCUCCUGGUCCUGGCUGCUCUCCCAGCAGUGUGUGUUUCUGUGUCUCCUGGUCCAGGCUGCUCUCCCAGCAGUGUGUGUUUCUGUGUCUCCCGGUCCUGGCUGCUCUCCCAGCAGUCUGUGUUUCUGUGUCUCCUGGUCCUGGCUGCUCUCCCAGCAGUCUGUGUUUCUGUGUCUCCCGGUCCUGGCUGCUCUCCCAGCAGUGUGUGUUUCUGUGUCUCCCGGUCCAGGCUGCUCUCCCAGCAGUGUGUGUUUCUGUGUCUCCCGGUCCUGGCUGCUCUCCCAGCAGUGUGUGUUUCUGUGUCUCCCGGUCCAGGCUGCUCUCCCAGCAGUGUGUGUUUCUGUGUCUCCCGGUCCUGGCUGCUCUCCCAGCAGUCUGUGUUUCUGUCUCGGUCAGGCUGCUCUCCCAGCAGUGUGUGUUCUGUGUCUCCUGGUCGGCUGCUCUCCCAACUUGCAGUGUGUGUUCUGUGUCUCCCUGGUGGGCUCUCCCAGCAGUGUGUGUUUCUGUGUCUCCUGGUCCAGGUUGCUCUCCCAGCAGUGUGUGUUUCUGUGUCUCCUGGUCCAGGCUGCUCUCCCAGCAGUGUGUGUUUCUGUGUCUCCCGGUCCUGGCUGCUCUCCCAGCAGUGUGUGUUUCUGUGUCUCCUGGUCCUGGCUGCUCUCCCAGCAGUGUGUGUUUCUGUGUCUCCUGGUCCAGGAUGCUCUCCCAGCAGUGUGUGUUUCUGUGUCUCCUGGUCCAGGAUGCUCUCCCAGCAGUGUGUGUUUCUGUGUCUCCUGGUCCUGGCUGCUCCCAGCAGUGUGUGUGUUUCUGUGUGUCUCGGUCCUGGCUGCUCUCCCAGCAGUCUGUGUUUCUGUGUCUCCCUGGUCUGGCUGCUCUUGGCAGUCUGUGUUUCAAUGUCUCGGUCUGGCUGCUCUCCCAACAGUGUGUGUUUCUGUGUCUCGGUCCAGGCUGCUCUCCCAGCAGUGUGUGUUUUCUGUGUCUCGGUCCUGUUUCUCUCCCAGCAGUGUGUGUUCCUGUGUCUCCUGGUCAGGCUGCUCCCAGCAGUGUGUGGUCUGUGUCUCGGUCCUGGCUGCUCUCCCAGCAGUCUGUCGCUCUGUGUCUCGGUCAGGCUGCUCUCCCAACGGUGUGUGUUUCUGUGUCUCCUGAUUCUGGCUGCUCUCCCAGUGUGUGUUUCUGUCUCCUGGUCAGGCACUCUCCCAGCAGUGUGUUUCUGUCUCGGUCCAGGUGCUCUCCCAGCAGUGUGUGUUUCUGUGUCUCCCGGUCCAGGUUGCUCUCCCAGCAGUGUGUGUUUCUGUGUCUCCUGGUCCAGGCUGCUCUCCCAGCAGUGUGUGUUUCUGUGUCUCCUGGUCCAGGCUGCUCUCCCAGCAGUGUGUGUUUCUGUGUCUCCUGGUCCAGGCUGCUCUCCCAGCAGUGUGUGUUUCUGUGUCUCCCGGUCCAGGUUGCUCUCCCAGCAGUGUGUGUUUCUGUGUCUCCC